GCCAGGCAUGGUGUUGCACGCCUGUAAUCCCAGCAGCUUGGGAGGCUGAGGUAGGAGCAUCACAAGUUCAAAGCCAACCUCAGCAACUUUAGCAAGACCCUGUCUCAA
Molecule: small RNA, 108 nt
Filed under: Marmota monax (woodchuck)
Lineage: Eukaryota; Metazoa; Chordata; Mammalia; Rodentia; Sciuridae
Source: RNAcentral